This 569-nucleotide ribosomal RNA is filed under the name Wolbachia endosymbiont of Drosophila bocki. RNAcentral describes it as "partial 23S ribosomal RNA". It matches the Rfam family "Bacterial large subunit ribosomal RNA", at positions 2356 to 2925 of the family's 2925-position model. Lineage: Bacteria; Pseudomonadati; Pseudomonadota; Alphaproteobacteria; Rickettsiales; Anaplasmataceae. The record is from RNAcentral.
UGCACAAGGGAGCUUGACUGUGAGACUGACAGGUCGAGCAGGGACGAAAGUCGGGACUAGUGAUCCGGCAGUGGCUUGUGGAAGCGCUGUCGCUCAACGGAUAAAAGGUACCUCGGGGAUAACAGGCUGAUCUUGCCCAAGAGUCCAUAUCGACGGCAUGGUUUGGCACCUCGAUGUCGGCUCGUCGCAUCCUGGGGCUGGAGUAGGUCCCAAGGGUUGGGCUGUUCGCCCAUUAAAGCGGUACGCGAGCUGGGUUUAGAACGUCGUGAGACAGUUCGGUCCCUAUCCGCUGCGCGCGUAGGAAGUUUGAGAGGAUCUGACCCUAGUACGAGAGGACCGGGUUGGACGAACCUCUGGUGUGUCAGUUGUUCCGCCAGGAGCACCGCUGAUUAGCUACGUUCGGGAUGGAUAACCGCUGAAAGCAUCUAAGCGGGAAGCCGGCCUCAAGAUGAGACUUCCAUACCUUCGGGUGAGAGGCUCCCAGCCAGACUACUGGGUUGAUAGGCCAGAUGUGGAAGUGCAGCAAUGCAUGCAGCUGACUGGUACUAAUAAGCCGAUGACUUGAUAAC